UGGGCCACUGCCUCCUCCUCUCUUGCUUGCUCUCUCUCUUUUGUGAGUUAUAGCAACUGUUGCCUUGUGAAUCAAGCGCCAUAGUCACCGUAGUCCUGGUGACUGUUACUCAUCAACAACAACUGCUCUUCCACUGCUUUCUAUCUGCUUCCUAAUCGUCACCUACAACAGCCACCACCAGCAAGAACAACAACACAGCUUUCCACGAUUCAGAGACCACGAUGCAGACAUCAGAGACUGGAUCAGACACAGGUUCGACUGUGACUUUACAGGCAUCUGUGGCUGGCCAGGCAGCAGUGCCCACACAGGUAGUACAGCAGGUACCGGUUCAGCAACAGGUACAGCAAGUACAGACUGUGCAACAGGUACAGCAUGUCUACCCAGCCCAGGUUCAGUAUGUGGAAGGAAGUGACACAGUCUACACAAAUGGAACUAUGUAAGUUGGCUAUUGAUCUAAAUUAGAAUGUUUACAAAAAUAUGAA
Long non-coding RNA from Pseudopipra pipra, 482 nucleotides. RefSeq lists it as uncharacterized. Lineage: Eukaryota; Metazoa; Chordata; Aves; Passeriformes; Pipridae. The transcript is spliced from 3 exons. The record is from RefSeq and is a predicted model, not a curated record.